CGCCGACAGGAUGGGGACAACAUUCCGAAAGGAAUGCUAACACCGAAUGGAGUCCGAGGAUGGCAUCAUCCUUGGAUAAAAGAUGGCCUCUUAACAAUGCUAUCGCCUGUCGAUGGGCCUGCGUCUGAUUAGCCAGUUGGCGGGGUAACGGGCCCACCAAAGCGACGAUCAGUAGCCGGUCUGAGAGGAUGAACGGCCACAUUGGGACUGAGACACGGCCCAG
RNAcentral lists this ribosomal RNA (223 nucleotides) under uncultured Veillonellaceae bacterium. RNAcentral's name for it is "partial 16S ribosomal RNA". It matches the Rfam family "Bacterial small subunit ribosomal RNA", at positions 127 to 334 of the family's 1533-position model. The record is from RNAcentral. Lineage: Bacteria; Bacillati; Bacillota; Negativicutes; Veillonellales; Veillonellaceae.